UUGGACUGUUACUUUGAAAAAAUUAGAGUGUUUAAAGCAAGCUAACGCUUGAAUACAUUAGCAUGGAAUAAUGAAAUAGGACGCUCGAUCCUAUUUUGUUGGUUUCUAGGAUUGACGUAAUGAUUAAUAGGGACAGUCGGGGGCAUCAGUAUUCAAUUGUCAGAGGUGAAAUUCUUGGAUUUAUUGAAGACUAACUACUGCGAAAGCAUUUGCCAAGGAUGUUUUCAUUAAUCAGGAACGAAAGUUAGGGGAUCGAAGACGAUCAGAUACCGUCGUAGUCUUAACCAUAAACUAUGCCGACUAGGGAUCAGACGAUGUUAUUUUUGACUCGUUCGGCGCCUUACGGGAAAC
RNAcentral lists this ribosomal RNA (351 nucleotides) under uncultured Glomus. Its description in RNAcentral is "SSU rRNA". It matches the Rfam family "Eukaryotic small subunit ribosomal RNA", at positions 744 to 1098 of the family's 1831-position model. Lineage: Eukaryota; Fungi; Glomeromycota; Glomeromycetes; Glomerales; Glomeraceae. The record is from RNAcentral.